CCGGUACAAUUUAUGGUGGACCGUUCCUCUUAAAAAUGGAGGUUAAAAAACCUGAUUAUGAGACAACAGUAAAGCAAAGUCAAUGAAUGAAAGCCUUUAUUUCCUAUUAAAGGGAGAUGCGGUUAAUGUUAAGAUUAAGAAUGAAGUAGUUACACCUAAUAAAACCCAUCCUCUGCUCAAAAAGUUGAAGAAGAGAAGGCCUUCUAAGAAGAAGGGAGCAGGACAGGAACACGUAGGCAGCCCAAGAGUCUGGUUUAGUCAGUGCUGCUCAGGAAAAUGCCUGAGGAAUUGGGAAAGAAGAGCUGGAAAUGCUGUUCCUGUGGAGGUGAGAACUGGUUCCCCAGGGAUAUAUAGGAAUUCCAGAGACAGUGGUGCUGCCAAGCUGUGUGUGUCCAGAGGUCACUCUGCUGCUCUGCUGGGGGUCAGAGAAGUAGGAGAAGAGUUGGGUGGAUACGGAGUGCCGGCAUGAGAGCAUUUGCCAAGAUCAAAAUGUUCCCCAUUGCUGCAAGAAGAUGAGAUCUUGGAACCUGGAAUCACACAGUCACAGCUCCAGCAGGGCCUCUGGCAACAGCCCCAGUGUCUUCAGCUACAGACACCACCUCUGUGAGUGCCAAGAAAAGCAAACAUAGGCCCCAGAUCUCCUGUUGCACCAACUGGAAAGAAGCCCACAGCAGAGGAGCUGAGCUGUGCAGACAGUCUUCCCAUGGCUCUUGAUUUUCCACCAUCCUACCCCCUUCUGAA
Molecule: long non-coding RNA, 741 nt
Filed under: Equus caballus (horse)
Lineage: Eukaryota; Metazoa; Chordata; Mammalia; Perissodactyla; Equidae
Description: lncRNA (ENSECAG00000047339.1)
Source: RNAcentral